CUCGCCAGGGGACUACGAGCUAUAGUUUUGUUUAAAAUACAAAACCAACCUGCUUAAAACCCAAAGGACUUGGCGGUGCUUUAUACCCCCCUAGAGGAGCCUGUUAUAGAAUCGAUAACCCCCGCUAAACCUCACCUUUUCUUGUAAAUACAGCCUGUAUACCGCCGUCGUCAGUUUACCCUAUGAAGGUAUAGUAGUAGACGCAAUUGUUCUAAGCCAAAAUGACAGGUCAAGGUGCAGCUAAUGAAAAGGAAUUUAAAUGGGCUACAUUUACUGAUUCAGUAAAUUACGAAUGUUUGUAAUGAAAAGACAACUGAAGGUGGAUUUAGUAGUAAGAAGUGAAAAGAGUGCACUUCUGAACUUUAAGGCUCUGAAGCGUGCACACACCGCCCGUCACCCUCCCCCACCGUUUAAUUUUAGCUGCCUUAAUUGUAGGCAAGCCAUAUAAAAUUAAUAAUUAAACACUUGGACUGCUGGGGAGGCAAGUCGUAACAUGGUAAGUGUACUGGAAAGUGUACUUGUGUAAACCC
This 530-nucleotide ribosomal RNA is filed under the name Lythrypnus rhizophora. Its description in RNAcentral is "partial 12S ribosomal RNA". It matches the Rfam family "Bacterial small subunit ribosomal RNA", at positions 868 to 1529 of the family's 1533-position model. Lineage: Eukaryota; Metazoa; Chordata; Actinopteri; Gobiiformes; Gobiidae. The record is from RNAcentral.